UACGUAGGGUGCGAGCGUUGUCCGGAAUUAUUGGGCGUAAAGGGCUCGUAGGCGGUUUGUCGCGUCGGGAGUGAAAACGCCGUGCUUAACACGGCGCUUGCUUUCGAUACGGGCAGACUAGAGGUAUUCAGGGGAGAACGGAAUUCCUGGUGUAGCGGUGAAAUGCGCAGAUAUCAGGAGGAACACCGGUGGCGAAGGCGGUUCUCUGGGAAUGACCUGACGCUGAGGAGCGAAAGCCAGGGGAGCGAACGGG
RNAcentral lists this ribosomal RNA (253 nucleotides) under uncultured bacterium. RNAcentral's name for it is "partial 16S ribosomal RNA". It matches the Rfam family "Bacterial small subunit ribosomal RNA", at positions 524 to 776 of the family's 1533-position model. The record is from RNAcentral.